AUGCGUCCACAUGCAUGUUCUUUGCUCGAGAAGAUCGUGGUGAAGCUGGAGCUCCAUGACAACAAGGACAAGCAGAAGGCCAUGAAGGCCGUCUCCGUGCUCGUCGGCAUCGACGCCAUAUCCAUGGACCUGGCGUCGCGCAAGAUGACGGUGAUCGGCACGGUGGACCCGGUGGACGUGGUGAGCAAGCUGCGCAAGGGCUGGGCGGCCUACAUCGAGUCCGUCGGCCCGGCCAAGGAGCCCGAGAAGAAAGAGGAGAAGAAGGAGGAGGCCAAGAAGGAAGGCGGCGACGGGGCCAAGAAGGAAGGCGGCGACGGCGGCGACGCCAAGAAGGAAGGCGACGGCAAGAAGGACGGCGACGGGAAGAAGGACGGCGAUGGCAAGAAGGAGGAGGGCGACGGCAAGAAGGACGGCGACGGGAAGAAGGACGGCGACAAGAAGGAGGAGGGCGACGGCAAGAAGGACGACCAGAAGAAGCCCGCCGCCGUGGCCCCGCUGCCGUACCCGCACCACAUGCCGCUGCCGCACCACAUGCCGCCGCCCUACAUGUUCAACGCCGACUACAUGAUGAACCAGUACCGGCCGGCGCCGCCGGCCUACCCGCCGCCGUACGUGCCGCCGCAGCACUACUACGUGCGGAACAUGAGCAUGGAGGAGAACCCAAACUCGUGCGUCAUCUGCUAA
Molecule: ribosomal RNA, 684 nt
Filed under: Triticum aestivum (bread wheat)
Lineage: Eukaryota; Viridiplantae; Streptophyta; Magnoliopsida; Poales; Poaceae
Description: partial small subunit ribosomal RNA
Source: RNAcentral